AUACGUAGGUGGCAAGCGUUGUCCGGAAUUAUUGGGCGUAAAGCGCGCGCAGGUGGUUCCUUAAGUCUGAUGUGAAAGCCCCCGGCUCAACCGGGGAGGGUCAUUGGAAACUGGGGAACUUGAGUGCAGAAGAGGAUAGUGGAAUUCCAAGUGUAGCGGUGAAAUGCGUAGAGAUUUGGAGGAACACCAGUGGCGAAGGCGACUGUCGGGUCUGUAACUGACACUGAGGCGCGAAAGCGUGGGGAGCAAACAGGAUUAGAUACCCUGGUAGUCCACGCCGUAAACGAUGAGUGCUAAGUGUUGGGGGGUUUCCGCCCCUCAGUGCUGCAGCUAACGCAUUAAGCACUCCGCCUGGGGAGUACGGUCUCAAGACUGAAACUCAAAUGAAUUGACGGGG
Molecule: ribosomal RNA, 397 nt
Filed under: uncultured bacterium
Lineage: Bacteria
Description: partial 16S ribosomal RNA
Rfam family: Bacterial small subunit ribosomal RNA
Source: RNAcentral